CAUGAAAGCUUCCUGACAUAGUGCAAAUUCAAGUUUGUUAAAAUCAUGACCCCUGGAGGAAGGAUGGGGCCACAAUAAGAGAUCAAAGAUUUACAUGCAAAUAUAUAGGGGAAAUCCUUAAAAAUCUUCUCAAGAAACACUGGGCCAGAAAUGCUGAGCUUCCUGACAUAGUGCAGAUUUAAGUUUGUUAAAAUCAUGACCCCCAGGGUAGGAUGGGGCCACAAUAGGGGAUCAAAGUUUUACAUACAAAUAAAUAGAGAAAAUCUUUUGAAAUCUUCUCAAAAACCAUUGGGCCAAAGAAUUUUAGAUUUCCAUGAAAGCUUCCUGGCAUAGUGCAGAUUCAAGUUUGUAAAAACCAUGGUCUCCGGGGGUAGGUUGGGGCCACAAUAAAGAUCAAAGUUCUACAUGUGAAUAUAUAGGGAAAAUCUUUAAGGUGACUCACGUGAGCAAUGUGGUUCAUGGGCCUAUUGUUUCAUCAUUCUGCAGCAAAGAUAGGCACCUGAUCUUGACCAAGCCGACCAAGUAAUGAUAUACCAGUACAUAUACUGUAUACAGGGAAAUAUUCACCCCAUUUUAUUUUCGCAGAUGCCAAAUUUAAGAUGGUUUUUUCUCUUAUCUCUCUUUUAAUACAAUUACAUCCUGACAAAUUUGAAAUGGGCGCAAAACCAUCUGCAAGUGUAGAAGGGCAAAAAUAAGACGGGGUGUGGGUUGGGGUGAAAACAACUCUUUAUACAGUAAUUACAUGGAAAUAUAAAAACUAGCAUUACUGGUCCAUGCCAAUAAACAACCAUCAUUUUAUUAUUGUAGGGACAGGAGGAUCCAAUUAUAUCUAAGUAAUAAAAUUUAUAUUUACUCUCUAAUUAUACAGUGAAACUUCUCCAAACCGGCCCCUCAGAAAACCGCUCCUCCCCAAAUAUCGGCCGAUUUCCAAAGUCCAGGCAGAAAUCUUAACAGCCCAGUAGCUAAGUACUUCGUUACUAGCUUGAAAAGACGGAUGUAUAUUUAAUUGCAUGUUAUAAAAUUUAGAAAUUCAUUUCAAAAUUAAGGAUUAUCUCCCUCAUGCAUAGCUCUUAUCCUUGGGCGAAUUUGGCUCCACUUGUUUGGCACGCUGUUUUUGGCUAUAUUUAGAUCUAAAACUUCAUAGUUAUUUCGGAUUUCAAACAUUUCGGUUGAGCAUCACUGAAGAGACAUUAUUUGUCGAAAUGGGCAUCUGGUGCAUCAAAAUUGGUACCGUAUAAGUUUUACAUUAUAUUCCUUAUACAAAGAAAUUCUUACAAAACCAGCAACCCCUAAAAAAUGGACAGCGGCCACCUUUUAUAGAUCAUUUGUUAACAAACGUGUAAUUUCCCCUCAUAAUACAAUCCACUUUUUUAAGACCAGAAAAUUUUGGUCAGAGGGCCCUCUUAUAGAAAAUAGGUACAUUUCGGGUACCUUAAUUGGGUACAAUAAAAAGUACCCGAAAUGUAUCCGAAACUCUACCCUUUUUGAAACCGCACUUUAAUUAUUUUUUUUUUACUUCCAGGCGGGUACUUUUUUUCAGGUACAUUUUUCUCUCCGAUACAACUUUUAAGUUUUUAAUUUUUGGGGUACCUUUUUGGUACGCAUUGGGUACAAUAAAAAGUACCCAAAAUGUACCUGGAAUGUACCCAAAAAGGCACCCAAAACUAUACCCUUUUUGGAACCGCACUUUAAAAUUCUUUUUACCUGCAGGCUUGUACUUUUUGUUUCCCACGCAACUUUUAAUUUUUUAAUUUUUGGGGUACGCAUUGGAUAUAGUAAAAAUUACCCAGAAUGUACCCAAAAGGUACCUGGAAUGUACCCAAAAAGGCACCCAAAACUAUACCCUUUUUGGAACCGCACUUUAAAAUUCUUUUUACCUGCAGGCUUGUACUUUUUGUUUCCCACGCAACUUUUAAUUUUUUAAUUUUUGGGGUACGCAUUGGAUAUAGUAAAAAUUACCAAGAAUGUACCCAAAAGGUACCUGGAAUGUACCCCAAAAAGUACCCGAAACUGUACUCUUUUUGGAACCGCACUUUAAUUUUUUUUUUACCUCCAAGCGGGUACUUUUUCGGGUACAUUAUUCUUUCCCAUACAGGGGGCCUCCGUGGCCGAGUGGUUAGAGCAUCGCGCUCAAAAUGACACGGCCUCUCACCUCUGUCGGCGCGGGUUCGAAUCCCGCUCGAGCCGGUAAGUGAGAAAGUUUCCCAGUUUACUUUCAGAAGGUCGGUGGUCUCUUCCCAGGUACAUUGUAUCUGGGUUCUCUCUUCCACUAAUAAAAAUUGGGCGCCACCAUAUAACUGAAAAAUUGUUGAGUGUGGCGGAAAACAUCAAUCAAUCAAUCAAUCAAUCAAUCAAUCUUCCCCAUACAACUUUUUAAGUUUUUAAUUUUGGGGGUACCUUUUGGGUCCUUUUUGGGUAUGCAUUGGGUACAGUAAAAAGUACACAGAAUGUACCCAAUAGGUACCUGGAAUGUGCCCAAAAGGGUAUCCGAAACUAUACCCUUUUUAGAACCGCACUUUAAAAUUUUUUUUACCUCCAGGGAGGUACUUUUUCGGGUACAUUUUUCUUUCCCAUACAACUUUUAUUUUUUUAUUUUUGGGGUACCGUUUGUGUACUUAUGGGGUAUGCAUUGGGUACAGUAAAAGGUACCUGGAAUGUACCCAAAAGGGUACCCGAAACUAUACCCUUUUUGGAACCGCACUUUAAAUUUUUUUUUUACCUCCAGGCGGGUACUUUUUCGGGUACAUUAUUCUUUCCCAUACAGGGGGCCUCCGUGGCCGAGUGGUUAGAGCAUCGCGCUCAAAAUGACACGGCCUCUCACCUCUGUCGGCGCGGGUUCGAAUCCCGCUCGAGCCGGUAAGUGAGAAAGUUUCCCAGUUUACUUUCAGAAGGUCGGUGGUCUCUUCUCAGGUACAUUGUAUCUGGGUUCUCUCUUCCACCAAUAAAAAUUGGGCGCCACCAUAUAACUGAAAAAUUGUUGAGUGUGGCGGAAAACAUCAAUCAAUCAAUCUUUCCCAUACAACUUUUUAAGUUUUUAAUUUUGGGGGUACCUUUUGGGUCCUUUUGGGGUAUGCAUUGGGUACAGUAAAAAGUACACAGAAUGUACCCAAUAGGUACCUGGAAUGUACCCAAAAGGGUACCCGAAACUAUACCCUUUUUAGAACCGCACUUUAAAAAUUUUUUUACCUCCAGGCAGGUACUUUUUCGGGUAUAUUUUUCUUUCCCAUACAACUUUUAAUUUUUUUAUUUUUGGGGUACCGUUUGUGUACUUAUGGGGUAUGCAUUGGGUACAGUAAAAGGUACCUGGAAUGUACCCAAAAGGGUACCCGAAACUAUACCCUUUUUGGAACUGCACUUUAAAUUUUUUUUUACCUGCAGGCAGGUACUUUUUUGGGUACAUUUUUCUUUCCAUAAAACUUUUUAAGUUUUUAAUUUUUGGGGUACCUUUUCACCAUGCCAGGGUACAUUAUUAUUUCAAACUUUCUAAGUUUCAAGUUUUAGGAUACCUUAAUGUUCUUAUUGAUACAAUCCGAGUACAUUUUAAGUACUUUUCAGGUACAAUCCGGAUUCCGUUUCAGGUACCAUUUUAGAAACUUUUCGGCUACAUUUUAGGUACAACUCCGGUACUAUUUUAGGUACUUUUUGGGUACAUUUAUUGGUAAAAUCUGGUUACCAAUUUAGACAGUUUUCAGCUACAAACUGAGUACAUUUUAGGAACUUUAGGCCUAAAAAAAAUUAAUUACUUGGUUCUCAGGCCCGCCCGCAUCUCUUUUAAUAAUGCACAUUACCCAUUUUUAUCAUUAAAUGAAUAAAAUAAGAUUUAUCUCAUGCGCUCGUAAGAUGCUUAAAAAAAUCCGGAAACCGCGACCGCAUUUAAGAGACUCCCGUCAGUUAAAUGUUUGACAAACGUCUGGAUGAUACAGACAUGUGCAAUCAAAUCGCGCCAUACAUAAUAGAGUUUUGUUUGAGUAAUGGCAGCCCCCAUAUCUAACCCGUGUUGUCGCCUUUACCAAGACAUUUUGUCUGGAAAAAAAAUCACGGACGAUUUUAGGAGAACGUUUUGGGGUUUACGAUCAACUUCUAGAGAUAAUUGAUAAUGUACCUCGCCCAAAUAACGAUAAAGGACAGUAUGUGCAGGAAUAAACUGAACAAAAUCGGCAAAAUUGAUUACCGUAUCAAAACGAAAGUAGAAACGCUGAAAUCUGAAUGACAUGUUUUGAUACGCGAUUUACGCCUUAAACACAAAGAUGACAUAGGCUUACAGCAAUUAUACACACUUAAAUAAAAAACAAUAUUGUUGUUUUCAUCUGUCAACUCCAUUUUGCAAACAGACACAUGUAACAGAAAUUAUAACACAUGAUCUGAUUCACUGGGUUUUGACACAAUCUGAGCAAACUGGUAUAUAUCGUAUAUGUUCCCUCCAAUAUGCUUUUGCUGUGCAGAUAACACAGUUGAGCAAAUUGAAGGGGCUUAUCCCACUUGUGAAAGCUGAAGGGCUUAAUUACCAAUUGCCACACAAAAAGAAAGAAUGUAGAAAAUGCAAGAGAAAAAGAAAGAGAAGGAAAUAAUGUUCUUAAUUUCUUUCUAUGUGUAUUGAGCAAUGGAUUAAUUUAAGAAUGGGAGUUUUGAAAUAAUUUUAAAAAAAAAAUCUUUCGUCUGUUUUUUAUGAGGUAAAAAGGAAAGAAAAAAGGUCUCCCUCCCUCAUUUAUUUUUGACAAAACUGGCCUGAGAACCAAGAAAUUCUUUUUUUGGUCUUACGGGUACAAUUUUAGGUACACACUGGGAACAUUUUAGGUUUUUACCAGGUACAGCAUAGGUACCAUUUUAGGUACACUCUGGGUACCAUUUUAGGCACUUUUCGAGUACCAUUUAGGGCAUUUUCCAGACUUUACUUGCCCCUCCUAAAGUAUAUUUGACUAACGUACUUUAAAUGUACUGGAGUUCUGCUAGUUUUCAUGAAUAUUACCAACCAAUAUGUGUUCUGAAAAAAUGAAGAAUCUUAAUAUAUGAGAAAUUGUAUUUAAUUCAUAGUGUAAAAAAUUAUGACAAAGCUUCUCUUCUUUGUAAUCAUAUUUCUCCUGCAAAUAAUACAUGUAAUAAAAAAAAACAUUUAAUGAAAUAUAAUCAAACCAAAUCACAAUACGAAUGUACUUUACUGCACUCUUCUUUUGUCUUUAAUUCGGUUGACUUGACGAUCUAAAUUAUCUUUAUUUUAUACCUGUCUCUGUUAUACUCGGGGGCCAUACUUUUUACAAACUUUGCACUAUGUUAGGAAGCUUUCAUGUAAAUUUCCACUUUCCUGGCCCAGUAGUUUUUGAGAAGAAGAUUUUUAAAGAUCUUCCUUAUAUAUUUGUUGUAUGCAAAAACUUUGAUCCCAUAAAUAAUUAUUUCUAAUCACUUACGUCAUUUGUGCUAACAACUUAAAUUUUUACUUGUCAAUUGAUAACUCUUACUGUUCCUUCGGACCAAUCAGAUUAAAAUCAGCUCCUCGUAUAGCAACAACAUAAAAAUAAAGGAGCAGAUCGAGCUGAUUUUAAUCAUAAUGCCGACAUUGUUAUUUCAGUUUGAUCUGCUUUGUAUAUAAAUUAAGAGUGGUUAAACUAUGAGGAGUUACAAAUGAAAUAUCACUACUGUGUCUAGCGAGUAGAUAUCUAGUUGAUGCAAAUCGCGGGUUUAAUAAUCAAGUGCCUGGUAGAUAUUAAUGAAAAUCGUCCCAGUGUCCGAUAAUAGACACAUUUAAAGUAGCAAAUUUCAUCAUCCUUCUUUACAAAAAACACAUGAGUUACAUAAUUCAAGAUACCUUAUGUGACCUUAUGAUGAUCUUCACUGCACAUAAGGAAAGCAAGGAUAACAGUCAGUGUUAUCCUUGCUUUCCUUAUGUGCAGUGAAGAUCAUCAGACACAAAAUAUGUGAAAGGGAUAAGAAUCAGAGGAAUUUCUGAUUAUUAGUGAUCAUAACUGGUAUGAAGUCAAAGAACCUACAAGAUACUCUAGUGUGGAAAUCACUUACUUAAUGGUUUGAAGUCUCUUCAGGAUUACACCACGAACUCACUCAAGUCCCUGUUGAAGGCUAUUCUCUGUCUGUUCAUAAUGUUUACAGUAGGUCACAACAUAAUAAACAUGGCGUCUGCAUGCUGAAUUUGUGCGGGAACUUGAGUGCACACCCGAUGCUUUUGAUCAGGAACCCGAUCUCAAUUUACGGUUGAUAGAGCCAAGUACUGUGAGGACCUGCUCUGGAUUGAUUAUUUAAUUAAUUAAUAAGUUAACUAGGUUAAAAAUACUAUGAUGCUCUUCAAUAAUUUCCUUCUGCAGGGACAUCUUUUGACAUACAGUGUAUAUCAAUAUUAGAAAAAAACAACCCCCCCCCCUCCACCAAAAAAAAAAAAACCACCCCCCAAAAACCCAAACCAAACACAGAUAGAUCUAUAUAUAGAAUUAAUUGAAAAUUAAAUUCAUUGAUUGUCACAUAAUUGUUUUUUAUGAAAUUGCUGCUAACUAAUAUACAUGUAGUAUUAUCAAGUUCAAAAGACUAUCUUACUACUAGGUCUACAAUAAUUAUUGUUAUUAUAUGAUUGAAUAAUUCCUAGCUCUCAUUGGCUGAGAUCCAACAAUGUAGAAAUCAUACUACGUUAUGUUUACCUGCACGUGACCUUCCAGGUGACCAUAAUAAAUAGGGCCACACAGUCUCGCGCAGUCUUGCUUCCGGUGGAACUUUCGGAGACAAGCACACAUUUAUCAGCAUAGCAAUAGAUUAUGAAUUGGCUUAUUUAAGUUAAAAGAAACGAUCAUAACUUUUUAUUCGUGUUUGCGUGUUGUCAACUUGGUUUACGGCGAACAUGUAAGAUGUCCAGGAUCCUAUCUACUCCUGGGUUGGCGAAAAAACGGGGAAAACAAUGCAGGUACUAAUGUAAACAAUCGAUGUCAAAACACAUAUUUACACGUUUUCUCUGUAUUUCACGAAUAAAUAUUUCGUAAAUAUACAUUUACAUUUGCAGAGAUGACUGAAAACAACAGAAGCAAUAGCUGUUUAAGGACGGUGUGAAGGAUAAAGACCCCACCCCCCCCCCCCUCUUCACCAUUUAACAGCUGUUUAAUAGCUUCGACUUUCAUAUUAUAGUGGCGGAUUGUUAGUCCUCCCCCUUUUCUUCCGCCACAAAGGCAUUACUGGCAUAUAUAGCUGAAAACUCCAGAUUUGGCACCCAAAAUGGUUUAUUUGAAGAUAAUGGGUCUACUGCUUGGUGGUUUAUUGGAUUGUGAAAAGUGACACUGGAUUAACGAAUUACCAGAGCAAUCCAUUCCAGGGCAGAUUAUGAAAGCUGCUUUGCUCUUGUUGAUUUUAAUAUCUUCUGAUAUACAAAUACAGAUUAAGUAUUAAAAAUAAAAUAAAAGUCUUC
Molecule: long non-coding RNA, 7393 nt
Organism: Ostrea edulis (European flat oyster)
Lineage: Eukaryota; Metazoa; Mollusca; Bivalvia; Ostreida; Ostreidae
Exons: 2
Source: RefSeq, a predicted model, not a curated record